RNAcentral lists this ribosomal RNA (253 nucleotides) under uncultured bacterium. Its description in RNAcentral is "partial 16S ribosomal RNA". It matches the Rfam family "Bacterial small subunit ribosomal RNA", at positions 524 to 776 of the family's 1533-position model. The record is from RNAcentral.
UACGUAGGGGGCAAGCGUUGUUCGGAUUUACUGGGCGUAAAGGGCGCGUAGGCGGCAUAUUAAGUCAGCUGUGAAAUCUCCGAGCUUAACUCGGAACUGUCAGCUGAUACUGAUGUGCUAGAGUGCAGAAGGGGCAAUCGGAAUUCUUGGUGUAGCGGUGAAAUGCGUAGAUAUCAAGAGGAACACCUGAGGUGAAGACGGGUUGCUGGGCUGACACUGACGCUGAGGCGCGAAAGCCAGGGGAGCAAACGGG